RNAcentral lists this ribosomal RNA (642 nucleotides) under Brevibacterium sp. UST050418-066. RNAcentral describes it as "bacterial SSU rRNA". It matches the Rfam family "Bacterial small subunit ribosomal RNA", at positions 38 to 681 of the family's 1533-position model. The record is from RNAcentral. Lineage: Bacteria; Bacillati; Actinomycetota; Actinomycetes; Micrococcales; Brevibacteriaceae.
GGCUGCGUGCUUACACAUGCAGUCNGAACGCUGAAGCCGACAGCUUGCUGUUGGUGGAUGAGUGGCGAACGGGUGAGUAACACGUGAGUAACCUGCCCCUGAUUUCGGGAUAAGCCUGGGAAACUGGGUCUAAUACCGGAUAUGACCUCCUGACGCAUGUUGGGUGGUGGAAAGUUUUUCGAUCGGGGAUGGGCUCGCGGCCUAUCAGCUUGUUGGUGGGGUAAUGGCCUACCAAGGCGACGACGGGUAGCCGGCCUGAGAGGGCGACCGGCCACACUGGGACUGAGACACGGCCCAGACUCCUACGGGAGGCAGCAGUGGGGAAUAUUGCACAAUGGGGGAAACCCUGAUGCAGCGACGCAGCGUGCGGGAUGACGGCCUUCGGGUUGUAAACCGCUUUCAGCAGGGAAGAAGCGAAAGUGACGGUACCUGCAGAAGAAGUACCGGCUAACUACGUGCCAGCAGCCGCGGUAAUACGUAGGGUACGAGCGUUGUCCGGAAUUAUUGGGCGUAAAGAGCUCGUAGGUGGUUGGUCACGUCUGCUGUGGAAACGCAACGCUUAACGUUGCGCGUUGCAGGUGGGUACGGGCUGACCUAGAAGUUGCAGUAGGGGGAGUUCUGGGGAAUUCCCUGGUGUAGCGG